This 23-nucleotide non-coding RNA is filed under the name Rattus norvegicus (Norway rat). Lineage: Eukaryota; Metazoa; Chordata; Mammalia; Rodentia; Muridae. The record is from RNAcentral.
AUUAUUCCAAAGAAAUAACAUUU